CUAAAUACUCCCUAGUGACCGAUAGUGAACCAGUACCGUGAGGGAAAGGUGAAAAGCACCCCGGGAGGGGAGUGAAACAGUUCCUGAAACCAUGUGCCUACAAGCUGUCGGAGCACAUUUACGUGUGACGGCGUGCCUCUUGCAGAAUGAACCGGCGAGUCAUGAUUGCGUGCAAGGUUAAGGUGGAAAAACCGGAGCCGCAGCGAAAGCGAGUCUGAAAUGGGCGUACGAAGUACGCAGUUAUGUACCCGAAACCAGGUGACCUACCCAUGUCCAGGUUGAAGGUGCGGUAAAACGCACUGGAGGACCGAACCCGUAUCAGUUGAAAAUGGUUGGGAUGAGGUGUGGGUAGCGGUGAAAUUCCAAACGAACUUGGAGAUAGCUGGUUCUCUCCGAAAUCUCUUUAGGGGGAGCCUCGAGGUUUAGAAUCAUGGAGGUAGAGCACUGUUUGGACUAGGGGCCCGUCAUGGGUUACUGACUUCAGAUAAACUCCGAAUGCCAUUGAUUUUUACUCGGGAGUCACACGGUGAGUGAUAAGAUCCAUCGUGGAAAGGGGAACAGCCCAGAUCAUCAGCUAAGGUCCCUAAAUAUAUGCUAAGUGGAAAAGGAUGUGGAAUUGCACAGACAACUAGGAUGUUGGCUCAGAAGCAGCCAUCAUUUAAAGAGUGCGUAAUAGCUCACUAGUCGAGUGACUCUGCGCCGAAAAUGUACCGGGGCUAAGCAUAUUACCGAAGCUAUGGAUGCAUCCAUCAGGAUGCGUGGUAGGAGAGCGUUCCAAGGGCGAUGAAGUCAGACCGUAAGGACUGGUGGAGCGCUUGGAAGUGAGAAUGCCGGUAUGAGUAGCGAAAGACAGGUGAGAAUCCUGUCCACCGAAUGACUAAGGUUUCCUGGGGAAGGCUCGUCCUCCCAGGGUUAGUCGGGACCUAAGUCGAGGCCGAGAGGCGUAGACGAUGGACAACAGGUUGAUAUUCCUGUACCAGUUGAUUGUGCUUGAGUGAUGGAGUGACGCAGAAGGCUAAGCGAUCCGGACGAUUGGAAGUGUCCGGCCAAGCAGCAAGUCAGUUGAUGAGUCAAAUGCUUAUCAGCGGGUUGACAAGCUGUGACGGGGAGCGAAAUUAUAGUAGCGAAGUCGUUGAUGUCACGCUGCCGAGAAAAGCUUCUAGCGAAUAAUCAACUGCCCGUACCGCAAACCGACACAGGUAGUCGAGGAGAGUAUCCUAAGGUGAGCGAGCGAACUCUCGUUAAGGAACUCGGCAAAAUGACCCCGUAACUUCGGGAGAAGGGGUGCUGAUCGCAAGAUCAGCCGCAGUGAAAAGGCCCAGGCGACUGUUUAUCAAAAACACAGGUUUCUGCAAAAUCGUAAGAUGAAGUAUAGGGGCUGACGCCUGCCCGGUGCUGGAAGGUUAAAAGGAAGAGUUAGCUUCGGCGAAGCCCUGAAUUGAAGCCCCAGUAAACGGCGGCCGUAACUAUAACGGUCCUAAGGUAGCGAAAUUCCUUGUCGGGUAAGUUCCGACCCGCACGAAAGGCGUAACGAUCUGGGCACUGUCUCAACGAGAGACUCGGUGAAAUUGAAUUGCCUGUGAAGAUGCAGGCUACCCGCGACAGGACGGAAAGACCCCAUGGAGCUUUACUGUAGCUUGAUAUUGAGUGCUUGUACUGCUUGUACAGGAUAGGUAGGAGCCAUAGAAGCCAGGACGCUAGUUUUGGCAGAGGCGUUGGUGGGAUACUACCCUUGCAUUAUGAUCACUCUAACCCGCACCACUGAUCGUGGUGGGAGACAGUGUCAGGUGGGCAGUUUGACUGGGGCGGUCGCCUCCCAAAAGAUAACGGAGGCGCCCAAAGGUUCGCUCAGAAUGGUUGGAAAUCAUUCGCAGAGUGUAAAGGCACAAGCGAGCUUGACUGCGAGACAGACAGGUCGAGCAGGGACGAAAGUCGGGCUUAGUGAUCCGGUGGUUCCGCAUGGAAGGGCCAUCGCUCAACGGAUAAAAGCUA
This 1992-nucleotide ribosomal RNA is filed under the name human gut metagenome. Its description in RNAcentral is "bacterial LSU rRNA". It matches the Rfam family "Bacterial large subunit ribosomal RNA", at positions 466 to 2465 of the family's 2925-position model. The record is from RNAcentral.